CAAGAAUCUGCUGAUGGGCAAAGCCCAUACUCUUCCAUCAGGUCUACUCUUUUAACUGAUACAUCUCCGCGGAGCAGAAACCACAGCCACAAGAUGUCACAACAGGGAGUGAAACACGGAGGGCACUUGUAACUCACAAGUUACCACUCCCUAGCUCCAGGGCGGGGUAGCAGCGAGAUUUUCAUUAAUUGUGUGGGGCCCCAGGAUGUGUUUUGGUUUUGCAAAGCUCUCUGGCAGAGCCUGACUUCCUGUUUAUCUGCCUCCGUACGCUCGCACAGCACAUGCAAUUCAAAACACAAGUGCAUGUGUCUUACAAUUCAGAACCAGAAGAGACUGGAACAUUUUUAAUUAGACUGAAAAUAAAAAGAUAGCAGCUUUGGAAGAUGUGUUCCCCUAGCUCCUUUCCUCUUGAAGGCUGCAAUUAAACAUGUUUUCUGGAGAACUGAUCCUUGCCACCCCAAGGAAAGGGGGAACACGAACCCCAUUAUUUGGUAGUCAACUUCGCCCCUAAAAUAAGUGAAACCGCGAAGCUGUCUUUUACCAGAUGCCCGGGGAACUGGCAGAAAACUGCACGACCAGAGUUUCGUACCCUUGGGGCAUGAUGUACACCAAGAAAUCUGUCAUCAGGGAGGGAAGCAAGAAACUGCAAGCCUUGCCAGCCGGAGAGAAGCAUUUCAAACAGGCACGGGGGCAGACCCUCAGCAAGCCAAUGAGCUGCCGACAGCGUCAGACUUUCCAGGUCCCUGGGUUAAAAAGGCAAACAGCACAAAUCUACUGGCAGACUGCCCGUGCUUCUGUCUGUCCUCACAGCACAAGACUUUCAGAACUGUGUGCCCUUUGCUGAUGGAAACAUUGAAAAAUACCUUCCUUCGAAGUAUUUUGAAGCUUGAGAGGACCACAGGAAAACAUCAGAUGGCUCCUUCCCAAGCGAAGUUUCGAGAGACCACAGAAAACCUAACAAGCACUCAAAAGUGAAGAUUUUCAAUUUUAAAAAGUACAGUAUGGAGCAACUUGUGACACUUACCCCCUCCAAAAAAACAGCUGUUCCUUUGGCUGCCAAUGCCAUAAUCUUGUUUCCUAACUGAGACUUAUUGGAGGAGAUUAAUCUUUACAGGCUUACUUUGAAAUCAGUCUGCACGAGAACCAAGCCCCAAAUCAGAGAACACACAGUAGAGUUGGUGAUUACCCUGCACCAUUUCUGCAACGACUGGGCCGCCGAGUGCUCUGCAAAGCACCCAAGGGUUUGAAGGAGAACCUUCACUUUGAGGAAGAUUAACAGAUCAUCUGUCCUUUGUAAAGUCAUCUAUAUUAUCAAUGACAAGACUCAAAUUGAGGGGCGCCUGGGUGGCUCAGUCGGUUGAGCGUCUGCUUCUGCUCAGGUCAUGAUCCCAGGGACCUGGGUCGAACCCUGCAUCCGGCUCCCUGCUCAGCAAGGGCCCUGCUUCUCCCUCUCCUCCCUGCUCCUGCUAUCUCUGUCUCUCUCAAAUAAAUAAAUAAAAUCGUUUAAAAAAAAGAAGACU
This 1520-nucleotide long non-coding RNA is filed under the name Ursus maritimus (polar bear). RNAcentral's name for it is "lncRNA (ENSUMAG00000012540.1)". Lineage: Eukaryota; Metazoa; Chordata; Mammalia; Carnivora; Ursidae. The record is from RNAcentral.